CCUACGGGAGGCAGCAGUGAGGAAUAUUGGUCAAUGGACGAGAGUCUGAACCAGCCAAGCCGCGUGAAGGACGACGGCCCUCCGGGUUGUAAACUUCUUUUAUAAGGGAAUAAAUCGAGGUACGUGUCCCUUUUUGAAUUUACUUUAUGAAUAUGAAUCGGCUAACGCCGUGCCAGCAGCCGCGGUAAUACGGAGGGUGCGAGCGUUGUUCGGAUUUAUUGGGGUUAAAGGGAGCGUAGGUGGGUUGUUAAGUCAGUAGUCAAAUUGUAGGGCUCAACCGUAGGAUUGCAAUUGAUACUGGAAGACUUGAGUACAGUAGAGGUAGGCAGAAUGCGUGGUGUAGCGGUGAAAUGCGUAGAUAUCACGAAGAACCCCGAUAGCGAAGGCAGCAUACU
This 395-nucleotide ribosomal RNA is filed under the name uncultured bacterium. RNAcentral's name for it is "partial 16S ribosomal RNA". It matches the Rfam family "Bacterial small subunit ribosomal RNA", at positions 338 to 730 of the family's 1533-position model. The record is from RNAcentral.